Lineus longissimus is the source of this 319-nucleotide long non-coding RNA. RefSeq lists it as uncharacterized. The record is from RefSeq and is a predicted model, not a curated record. Lineage: Eukaryota; Metazoa; Nemertea; Pilidiophora; Heteronemertea; Lineidae. The transcript has 3 exons.
AACAUGUUCAAUUGUUGAAGAAGGACGAGUAGACUUUUUAAAUAGUAUUUACAAUUUCUACAAAAAAAACCUCUCAUUCCAGGAAUACCUGCAGCAAUUGGAGCAGGGCCAGGUAGAGUUUUCAUACCACCACUUAAGCCCAGGAAUGAGGAGCAAGUACCAGCCUCUGCCAUUGUCAUUGCUGAAAUAGGUCUGCCAACUUCUGGAUAUCCCAAUGACGACAUUGAAGAAGUCAAAACAAGCAUGACUUAUGAAUCAGAUUAUUUGGAACUGUGCUCAGCUGGCCCCACACCCCCAAAAUGUGUCAUGACAAUGAAGA